CGAACACGGAAGUUAAGCUCUUUAGCGCCGAUGGUAGUUGGGACUUUGUCCCUGUGAGAGUAGGACAUCGCUAGGC
This 76-nucleotide ribosomal RNA is filed under the name Priestia megaterium. The record is from RNAcentral. RNAcentral also lists the same sequence under 2 other names. Lineage: Bacteria; Bacillati; Bacillota; Bacilli; Caryophanales; Bacillaceae.